GUUGAAGUCCGUUAGUUAGACAGAUAAACAAAAACCGACCACUCGCUGGCCAGACAACCCCGUGGUAACGACCUGUCCAUCACAAGGUGGAACCGCCCCACUUUGCGGUCUAUUUGACUCAACGGACCACGAUUUGCUUAAAGGUACAUGAUGAGGCAUUGAAAACUGCGGAAAUAAAGGAAAAAGACAGAGGACCCGCUACGUCAUUCGCUGCCACCGCGACAUGUUCGCACCAUAAUGGGACGUCGUUAGUUGGAGGUACAUCCAGAAGAGGAGCAGUAGCGCUUGAAGCAACCCCCGAUCGGAGAGGUCAACAGCGGAAGUGGGGGAGGAGGCGGUGAG
Molecule: long non-coding RNA, 342 nt
Organism: Gasterosteus aculeatus aculeatus (three-spined stickleback)
Lineage: Eukaryota; Metazoa; Chordata; Actinopteri; Perciformes; Gasterosteidae
Source: Ensembl